Molecule: ribosomal RNA, 253 nt
Filed under: uncultured prokaryote
Description: partial 16S ribosomal RNA
Rfam family: Bacterial small subunit ribosomal RNA
Source: RNAcentral
ACGGAGGGUGCAAGCGUUGUCCGGAUUUAUUGGGUUUAAAGGGUGCGUAGGCGGCCCGGUAAGUCAGUGGUGAAAGCCUCCAGCUCAACUGGAGAACUGCCAUUGAUACUGCCGGGCUUGAGUACAGACGAGGUUGGCGGAAUUGAUUGUGUAGCGGUGAAAUGCAUAGAUACAAUCAAGAACUCCGAUUGCGUAGGCAGCUAACUAGGCUGUAACUGACGCUGAGGCACGAAAGCGUGGGGAGCGAACAGGA